This 449-nucleotide ribosomal RNA is filed under the name Amphistegina lobifera. RNAcentral describes it as "SSU rRNA". The record is from RNAcentral. Lineage: Eukaryota; Foraminifera; Rotaliida; Amphisteginidae.
UGGAGCAUGUGGGCUAAUUUGACUCAACGCGGGGAAUCUUACUAGGUCCGGACCGAUUCUAUGAUCGUCGUACUGUGGGGUGCUACGUGAUUACUGGAUGAGUGGUGCAUGGCCGUUCUUAGUUCGUGGUGUCAGUUGUCUACUUAAUUGUCAUUGGUUCUCGUAUCUUACGGUACAGAACUGAUAACGAACGAGAUCGAGGCCCGUGGUUGUGUCGUUGGUUAUUAUUGUGUGCGGCGUUAACAACGGGGAUCGCGUAAUACUCCACGGUACGAUCGAAAGACUCGGCAAUAACAGGUCUGUGAUGCCCUCAGAUGUUCUAGGCUGCACACGUGCUACAUUGUGGUUUCGCGUAGUGKGUGUGUGCAUAGAAAUGAUAAGAUCCCCCGCACCGAGUCUCAANUUAAUCACUUGGUUGGACUCACCGUUUGUAAUUAUUCGGUAUACUA